Lepisosteus oculatus (spotted gar) is the source of this 785-nucleotide long non-coding RNA. RefSeq lists it as uncharacterized. NCBI's taxonomy places the organism in Eukaryota, Metazoa, Chordata, Actinopteri, Semionotiformes, Lepisosteidae. The record is from RefSeq and is a predicted model, not a curated record.
GGAGACAGAGGGGAGCUGUGAAAUCCUGUCUGGUGUGUCUGGCCUCUUACUGUCAGACUCACCUCCAGCCUCACUAUGAAGCUGCUCCAUUGAAGAAACACAAGCUGGUUGAGGCCACAGGACAACUGCAGGAGAAGAUCUGCUCCACUCAUGACAAACCGUUGGAGGUCUAUUGCCGUAUUGACCAGAAGUGUGUCAGUGGUCAGAGCUCACUGAUUGACAGCUGGAGUCUCCUAUCAGAGAGGCGGACAGUGAGUGCGAGCAGUCUGAAUCUGCGGCCCAGGAAGCCGGGGGUGUGUGUGGAUAUUGAGGAGAGGAAGGUCUCCUUUUACACAGUGGAGUCCAGAGCUCAUGUCUACACUUUCACUGACAUGGUCUUCACUCAGGGGGAGAAGAUCUAUCCUGUCUUCAGGACUGAGGAUCAGUAUAAAGACCUUGAGCUGCUGCCUGCUGUCAGUGUGGAGAUUAAACCCGUCACUGACUCAUGAACACAGGCUGACUCUCUCCCAGCUCUCUGUCCACUGCUCACACAGGGAGACGGGUUUACUGACGGGCAGUGAGGUGAUGUCAUAAACAUAAUAGUAAUUUUAGAUGAUGACGAUGUUGUGUUGUGUUUAAAUGCAUUAUAUUAAAUUUAAAAAAAUCAAAUGAGGAAAAAUAACAUGUACCAGAGAGUGAGAUAUACCUCACUACCAGUCUGCUGUACUCCUGACUUGUAAAUAUCUCUGCAAACCCUCCUUUGUUUUUUUUUCUAAUUUUAAGAAAAUAAACUUUUAAAAAUGAAA